GAAGUGCGAUAAGCAAUGCGAAUUGCAGAACCGUGAGUCAUCAGAUUUUUGAACGCAACUGGCGCUGGUUGGCUCCCCAACCAGCAUGCUUGUUUCAGUGUCUCAAUAUCCCCUCACCCAAAUCUUAAUGCGGGAGAUACCCUUCUCUCGUUAAGCAAGAAAGCACUCUGCGCUCUGCGAGCGAUUUCGACUAGUUCGAUCUCGCACUCAAUGCAGCGGUCACAUUGUUCGCAGUGUGAACUCAUUGAGAGCAAAGGCAGUGCAGCCUAGCUGCCAGUGCUUAGACACUCAAACUUUUCUUGUAUCUGAAAUCAAGCAGGACCACCCGCUGAACUUAA
This 338-nucleotide unclassified non-coding RNA is filed under the name uncultured fungus. Its description in RNAcentral is "sequence contains ITS1". The stretch from base 1 to 103 matches the Rfam family "5.8S ribosomal RNA", at positions 50 to 154 of the family's 154-position model. Lineage: Eukaryota; Fungi. The record is from RNAcentral.